This is an unclassified non-coding RNA of Prolemur simus (greater bamboo lemur), 70 nucleotides long. The record is from Ensembl. Lineage: Eukaryota; Metazoa; Chordata; Mammalia; Primates; Lemuridae.
UAUCGGAGAAUAAUUGCUUUGUCUCCUGAUCACCUUACCGCCACAGAUGAGGCAAAGAGGUUGCGGAAGC